This 305-nucleotide ribosomal RNA is filed under the name uncultured bacterium. RNAcentral's name for it is "bacterial SSU rRNA". It matches the Rfam family "Bacterial small subunit ribosomal RNA", at positions 335 to 658 of the family's 1533-position model. The record is from RNAcentral.
UGCCUACGGGUGGCAGCAGUAGGGAAUAUUGCUCAAUGGGGGAAACCCUGAAGCAGCAACGCCGCGUGGAGGAUGAAGGUUUUCGGAUUGUAAACUCCUUUUGUUAGAGAAUAUAAUUACGGUAUCUAACGAAUAAGCACCGGCUAACUCCGUGCCAGCAGCCGCGGUAAUACGGAGGGUGCAAGCGUUACUCGGAAUCACUGGGCGUAAAGAGCGCGUAGGCGGGAUAGCAAGUCAUAUUUUAAAUCCUAUUUCUUAACCAUAGAACUGCAUUUGAAACUGUUAUUCUAGAGUAUGGGAGAGGU